Molecule: ribosomal RNA, 318 nt
Filed under: uncultured bacterium
Lineage: Bacteria
Description: bacterial SSU rRNA
Rfam family: Bacterial small subunit ribosomal RNA
Source: RNAcentral
UCAUCAUGCCCUUAUGUCAGGGCUCACACAUGCUACAAUGGUCGGUACAACGCGCAGCGACACUGUGAGGUGGAGCGAAUCGCUGAAAGCCGGCCUUAGUUCGGAUUGGGGUCUGCAACUCGACCCCAUGAAGUCGGAGUCGCUAGUAAUCGCAGAUCAGCAAUGCUGCGGUGAAUACGUUCCCGGGCCUUGUACACACCGCCCGUCACGUCAUGAAAGUUGGUAACACCCGAAGCCGGUGGCCCAAACUUGUUAGGGAGCCGUCGAAGGUGGGAUCGGCGAUUGGGACGAAGUCGUAACAAGGUACCCGUACCGGAA